GCGCCGCCUGGACCUCUCCAACCUGAAGCAGUGCUCCGACCCCCUGCUCAGCGACUUCAAGAACGUGGACAUCACGAAGCGGACGCUGCUGCACGAAGGGGCGCUGACGUGGCGCGUGUCCCGCGACAAAUCCGUGGAGGUGCAGGCGCUGCUGCUGGACGAGGUGCUGAUGCUGCUGCAGCGCGUGGAGGAGCGGCUGGUGCUCCGCCCCCACAGCCGAGGCCCCGCCCCCCCCGACGGCCGCCGCCUGCUCAGCCCCAUUGUCCCGU
Molecule: long non-coding RNA, 269 nt
Filed under: Numida meleagris (helmeted guineafowl)
Lineage: Eukaryota; Metazoa; Chordata; Aves; Galliformes; Numididae
Description: lncRNA (ENSNMEG00000000744.1)
Source: RNAcentral